UAAUACGAAGGAUCCAAGCGUUGUCCGGAUUUACUGGGUUUAAAGGGUGCGUAGGCGGGGAAUUAAGUCAGUGGUGAAAGCUGGUAGCUUAACUAUCAAAUUGCCAUUGAAACUGAUUUUCUCGAGUACGGUUGAGGUAGCUGGAAUGUAACAUGUAGCGGUGAAAUGCUUAGAUAUGUUACAGAACACCAAUUGCGAAGGCAGGCUACUAAACCGUAACUGACGCUGAGGCACGAAAGCGUGGGGAUCAAACAGGAUUAGAUACCCUGGUAGUCCACGCUGUAAACGUUGCAUACUCGGUCUUAGCGAUAUACAGUUAGGACCUAAGCGAAAGCAUUAAGUAUGCCACCUGGGGAGUACGGUCGCAAGAUUGAAACUCAAAUGAAUUGACGG
RNAcentral lists this ribosomal RNA (393 nucleotides) under bacterium enrichment culture. RNAcentral describes it as "bacterial SSU rRNA". It matches the Rfam family "Bacterial small subunit ribosomal RNA", at positions 521 to 916 of the family's 1533-position model. The record is from RNAcentral.